GAUGAACGCUGGCGGCGUGCUUAAUACAUGCAAGUCGAACGGAAAGGCCCUGCUUUUGUGGGGUUCUCGUGUGGCGAACGGGUGAGUAACACGUGAGUAACCUGCCCUUGACUUUGGGAUAACUUCAGGAAACUGGGGCUAAUACCGGAUAGGAGCUCCUGCUGCAUGGUGGGGGUUGGAAAGUUUCGGCGGUUGGGGCUGGACUCGCGGCUUAUCAGCUUGUUGGUGGGGUAGGGGCUUACCAAGGCUUUGGCGGGUAGCCGGCCUGAGAAGGUGACCGGCGACAUUGGGACUGAGAUACGGCGCAGACUCGUACGGGAGGCAGCAGUGGAGAAUAUUGCACAAUGGGCGGAAGCCUGAUACAGAGACGCCGCGUGCGGGAUGACGGCCUUCGGGUUGUAAACAGAUUUCGCCUGUGACGAAGCGUGCGUGACGGUAAUGGGUAAAGAAGCACCGGCUAACUACGUG
Molecule: ribosomal RNA, 468 nt
Filed under: uncultured bacterium
Lineage: Bacteria
Description: partial 16S ribosomal RNA
Rfam family: Bacterial small subunit ribosomal RNA
Source: RNAcentral